This 73-nucleotide transfer RNA is filed under the name Actinomycetota bacterium. RNAcentral describes it as "tRNA-His". It matches the Rfam family "tRNA". Rfam says of the family: Transfer RNA (tRNA) molecules are approximately 80 nucleotides in length. Their secondary structure includes four short double-helical elements and three loops (D, anti-codon, and T loops). RNAcentral also lists the same sequence under 1 other name. Lineage: Bacteria; Bacillati; Actinomycetota. The record is from RNAcentral.
GUGGGUGUAGCUCAGCUGGUAGAGCAUCGGCUUGUGGUGCCGAGGGUCGCGGGUUCAAGCCCCGUCACUCACC